AGCUUUGUGCAGUGGCAGUAUCGUAGCCGAUGGGGUUUAUCCGAGGCGUGAUUAUUGCUAAUUAAAAACCCUUUGAUACCUUUGCCAUGAAAGCAUGACAUAAUUCUUAAAAAAUAUCAGUUAA
RNAcentral lists this small nuclear RNA (124 nucleotides) under Zalophus californianus (California sea lion). Its description in RNAcentral is "U4 spliceosomal RNA (ENSZCAG00015019116.1)". It matches the Rfam family "U4 spliceosomal RNA". Rfam says of the family: U4 small nuclear RNA (U4 snRNA) is a component of the major U2-dependent spliceosome. The structure of U4 snRNA from yeast and human has been reported. U4 snRNA presents a k-turn RNA motif in the 5p-SL related to recognition of Snu13 protein. Lineage: Eukaryota; Metazoa; Chordata; Mammalia; Carnivora; Otariidae. The record is from RNAcentral.